GACGAACGCUGGCGGCGUGCUUAACACAUGCAAGUCGAACGGAAAGGCCCUGCUUUUGUGGGGUGCUCGAGUGGCGAACGGGUGAGUAACACGUGAGUAACCUGCCCUUGACUUUGGGAUAACUUCAGGAAACUGGGGCUAAUACCGGAUAGGAGCUCCUGCUGCAUGGUGGGGGUUGGAAAGUUUCGGCGGUUGGGGAUGGACUCGCGGCUUAUCAGCUUGUUGGUGGGGUAGUGGCUUACCAAGGCUUUGACGGGUAGCCGGCCUGAGAGGGUGACCGGCUACACUGGGACUGAGAUACGGCCCAGAGUCCUAGGGGAGGCAGCAGUGGGGAAUAUUGCACAAUGGGCGGAAGCCUGAUGCAGCAACGCCGCGUGCGGGAUGUCGGCCUUCGGGUUGUAAACCGCGUUCGCCUGUGACGAAGCGUGAGUGACGGUAAUGGGUAAAGAAGCACCGGCUAACUACGUG
RNAcentral lists this ribosomal RNA (468 nucleotides) under uncultured bacterium. RNAcentral's name for it is "partial 16S ribosomal RNA". It matches the Rfam family "Bacterial small subunit ribosomal RNA", at positions 28 to 507 of the family's 1533-position model. The record is from RNAcentral.